Molecule: ribosomal RNA, 954 nt
Filed under: Alteromonas sp.
Lineage: Bacteria; Pseudomonadati; Pseudomonadota; Gammaproteobacteria; Alteromonadales; Alteromonadaceae
Description: bacterial SSU rRNA
Rfam family: Bacterial small subunit ribosomal RNA
Source: RNAcentral
GAUGUCGAGUGGCGGACGGGUGAGUAAUGCUUGGGAACUUGCCUUUGCGAGGGGGAUAACAGUUGGAAACGACUGCUAAUACCGCAUAAUGUCUACGGACCAAACGGGGCUUCGGCUCCGGCGCAAAGAGAGGCCCAAGUGAGAUUAGCUAGUUGGUGAGGUAAAGGCUCACCAAGGCAACGAUCUCUAGCUGUUCUGAGAGGAAGAUCAGCCACACUGGGACUGAGACACGGCCCAGACUCCUACGGGAGGCAGCAGUGGGGAAUAUUGCACAAUGGGGGAAACCCUGAUGCAGCCAUGCCGCGUGUGUGAAGAAGGCCUUCGGGUUGUAAAGCACUUUCAGUUGUGAGGAAAAGUUAGUAGUUAAUACCUGCUAGCCGUGACGUUAACAACAGAAGAAGCACCGGCUAACUCCGUGCCAGCAGCCGCGGUAAUACGGAGGGUGCGAGCGUUAAUCGGAAUUACUGGGCGUAAAGCGCACGCAGGCGGUUUGUUAAGCUAGAUGUGAAAGCCCCGGGCUCAACCUGGGACGGUCAUUUAGAACUGGCAGACUAGAGUCUUGGAGAGGGGAGUGGAAUUCCAGGUGUAGCGGUGAAAUGCGUAGAUAUCUGGAGGAACAUCAGUGGCGAAGGCGACUCCCUGGCCAAAGACUGACGCUCAUGUGCGAAAGUGUGGGUAGCGAACAGGAUUAGAUACCCUGGUAGUCCACACCGUAAACGCUGUCUACUAGCUGUUUGUGACUUUAAGUCGUGAGUAGCGAAGCUAACGCGAUAAGUAGACCGCCUGGGGAGUACGGCCGCAAGGUUAAAACUCAAAUGAAUUGACGGGGGCCCGCACAAGCGGUGGAGCAUGUGGUUUAAUUCGAUGCAACGCGAAGAACCUUACCUACACUUGACAUGUUGAGAAGUUACCAGAGAUGGUUUCGUGCCUUCGGGAACUCAAACACAGGUGCUG